RNAcentral lists this ribosomal RNA (450 nucleotides) under uncultured bacterium. RNAcentral's name for it is "partial 16S ribosomal RNA". It matches the Rfam family "Bacterial small subunit ribosomal RNA", at positions 354 to 796 of the family's 1533-position model. The record is from RNAcentral.
GUGGGGAAUCUUCCGCAAUGGACGAAAGUCUGACGGAGCGACGCCGCGUGAGUGAAGAAGGCCUUCGGGUCGUAAAGCUCUGUCAUCAGGGACGAACGGCCGGUGGAGUGGAAAGCCACCGGAUUGACGGUACCUGAGAAGGAAGCCACGGCUAACUACGUGCCAGCAGCCGCGGUAAUACGUAGGUGGCAAGCGUUGUCCGGAAUUAUUGGGCGUAAAGCGCGCGCAGGUGGGAUCUUAAGUCCAUUUUUAAAGUUCGGAGCUCAACUCCGUGAUGGGAUGGAAACUGGGAUUCUUGAGUACCGGAGAGGAAAGCGGAAUUCCCCGUGUAGCGGUGAAAUGCGUAGAUAUGGGGAGGAACACCAGUGGCGAAGGCGGCUUUCUGGACGGUGUCUGACACUGAGGCGCGAAAGCUAGGGGAGCGAACGGGAUUAGAAACCCGUGUAGUCC